ACUGGGUGUGGUGGCCACACCUGUAAUCCCAGAGACUUGGAGGCUGAGGCAGGAGGAUUGCAAGUUUGAGGACAGCCUUGGCAAUUUAGCAAGACCUUAUCUAAA
This 105-nucleotide small RNA is filed under the name Marmota monax (woodchuck). Lineage: Eukaryota; Metazoa; Chordata; Mammalia; Rodentia; Sciuridae. The record is from RNAcentral.